Molecule: non-coding RNA, 299 nt
Organism: Pelobates cultripes (western spadefoot toad)
Lineage: Eukaryota; Metazoa; Chordata; Amphibia; Anura; Pelobatidae
Source: the annotation of a GenBank genome assembly
GCCUUAGAUAUGAUCUUAGCAGAAAAAGGAGGAGUGUGUAAAAUGCUUCCGGACACUAUUACAUGUUGUACCUUCAUCCCAGAUAACACAGGCCCAAAUGGUAAAGUGACCCUGGCAAUAGAGAAAUUAGAGGAUCUCUCGGAAGAAUUGAAGAACUCUGCAAUUACUGACCCUUGGGAUAGAUGGUUCGGAUGGAUGAGUGGCUGGCAGAAAAUCCUGACCCAAAUAGGUAUAGCCGUCCUGGUAAUUUUAAUUAUCCUUGCCAUUAUUGUAUGUUGUGUUCCCCCUGUAUCAAAAAG